RNAcentral lists this long non-coding RNA (1143 nucleotides) under Rattus norvegicus (Norway rat). Its description in RNAcentral is "long non-coding RNA NONRATT030148". Lineage: Eukaryota; Metazoa; Chordata; Mammalia; Rodentia; Muridae. The record is from RNAcentral.
CUUUCCAUGGUUAAGAUGAUUGAGCAAAAAGGAUCCAUUCACAGCUCCGGCAACAUCUCUGGAAUAACUGUGUGAAGGAACUCUGCCAAGAGCUGGAAUUGCAGUUAACAUAGAAGCUUGAGGCAUAGAUAGCUGUAUCAUCUGGUUAAUAACUGCCAUUUGAAGGAGUCUGCAACACAGUGUGACCAAUUGCCUCAGUGUGUCCAGGUCUAUCCUAGUUUCCUGAGGCACAUACUUCCCAUCUUACAAGUGGAAAUAGAGCAAAAACCAUAUACACAGGCUCUUGGGAUUUGAAUGUGAAAUGAUGCUCAAAUGUUGGACUACUUAUCCUCACUUUGGGGAGCAGCUUGGAGCACAGAUAUCUGUACCAUCUGCUUAGAAACUUCCAUUUGAAGAAGUUUGCAAUAUGGUGUGAUCAAGUUGCUUCGGAGGAAGACUCAUGACAUCAUACAUUUCUAGAACAGGACAGAUCUUCAAAAACAUGAACUGCAAGUUUCCUAUCCAUAGUGGAAGGUGGAAACGGAAGGAAGAAGGCAUGGUCCGGUCUUUCAGGAAGACUCUGCAGGAAGGAUACCACGGACAAGGGCUGAAAAUCUAAAUCCAACUCUGAAAACAUCACGUGACAGACACUGCCUUACCAUGUACACACCCAGAUGAUCCAACUUUCAUGUCAAUGACAGUGUUCAUCUGAAAAAGACCCAGCUUGACCCCUUACCUAAGUCACCUGAGAGAUGGGAGCCAAAUCCACUUCCUGUUCAGGUGUCAUAGAAAGGAGAGCCCAUUCUGUCCCUAGACUCAGUGCUGCCAAGACCCUGAGGGCUUGAGAAAAAGAAUUCUAAUGAAGUUUUUGUUUUGCUUUGUUUUGUUUUUCAAACAAUAGUGACUUUGUUGGCACAAUCAAGAAGCCCUCAAAGCAUGUGAGUGUGAGGGAUGGUGGUGAGUAAUGUGGUUUUAAAAUGAAGUCUUGAGUAUUGGCCCUUGCUUUUGAAGCACUUCUCUAUCAACUGCCUCAGAGGAUAAAAUGAAAUAGUUGGGCAAAGUGUUCAGUACUGUCUUUCUACUAUUUGUUUAAAAUGCAUUGAUGCUAUCUCAUCACUUCUGUUUCUAGAAUAAAUCAAAGCCAGCAUUUUGAUAGCUUUUUAA